This 249-nucleotide small RNA is filed under the name Vigna angularis var. angularis. Its description in RNAcentral is "Non-protein coding transcript". Lineage: Eukaryota; Viridiplantae; Streptophyta; Magnoliopsida; Fabales; Fabaceae. The record is from RNAcentral.
ACUCUUUUCGUUGUGUCUGUAUUGAUAUGCUAGUAUCUUUAAGUGCUUUCCUAAAGCUGCCAAACAAGGAAUGGAUCAUCCUCAUCAAUUCCUAAGCCAGUCUCCACGUAUAUUUCAUCUUUUGAAAUAUACAUGUGACAGUGGAAUCAAUUUGAAGUUAGAGAGCCAUUUUAUUAUUCGAAAUUGACUUGAUAAGGCGCAUUUCAGUUUGAUUCCUAUUAUUAUAUAGUGGAAUGUUACAACCUCUCA